GCGGGAUUAGCUCAGCUGGUUAGAGUGCAUGCAUCACACGCAUGAAGUCCGGGGUUCGAGUCCCUGAUUCCGCACCA
Molecule: transfer RNA, 77 nt
Filed under: Oscillospiraceae bacterium
Lineage: Bacteria; Bacillati; Bacillota; Clostridia; Eubacteriales; Oscillospiraceae
Description: tRNA-Val
Rfam family: tRNA
About the family: Transfer RNA (tRNA) molecules are approximately 80 nucleotides in length.
Source: RNAcentral